GGUUAAGCGACUAAGCGUACACGGUGGAUGCCCUGGCAGUCAGAGGCGAUGAAGGACGUGCUAAUCUGCGAUAAGCGUCGGUAAGGUGAUAUGAACCGUUAUAACCGGCGAUUUCCGAAUGGGGAAACCCAGUGUGUUUCGACACACUAUCAUUAACUGAAUCCAUAGGUUAAUGAGGCGAACCGGGGGAACUGAAACAUCUAAGUACCCCGAGGAAAAGAAAUCAACCGAGAUUCCCCCAGUAGCGGCGAGCGAACGGGGAGCAGCCCAGAGCCUGAAUCAGUAUGUGUGUUAGUGGAAGCGUCUGGAAAGGCGCGCGAUACAGGGUGACAGCCCCGUACACAAAAAUGCACAUGCUGUGAGCUCGAUGAGUAGGGCGGGACACGUGGUAUCCUGUCUGAAUAUGGGGGGACCAUCCUCCAAGGCUAAAUACUCCUGACUGACCGAUAGUGAACCAGUACCGUGAGGGAAAGGCGAAAAGAACCCCGGCGAGGGGAGUGAAAAAGAACCUGAAACCGUGUACGUACAAGCAGUGGGAGCACGCUUAGGCGUGUGACUGCGUACCUUUUGUAUAAUGGGUCAGCGACUUAUAUUCUGUAGCAAGGUUAACCGAAUAGGGGAGCCGAAGGGAAACCGAGUCUUAACUGGGCGUUAAGUUGCAGGGUAUAGACCCGAAACCCGGUGAUCUAGCCAUGGGCAGGUUGAAGGUUGGGUAACACUAACUGGAGGACCGAACCGACUAAUGUUGAAAAAUUAGCGGAUGACUUGUGGCUGGGGGUGAAAGGCCAAUCAAACCGGGAGAUAGCUGGUUCUCCCCGAAAGCUAUUUAGGUAGCGCCUCGUGAAUUCAUCUCCGGGGGUAGAGCACUGUUUCGGCAAGGGGGUCAUCCCGACUUACCAACCCGAUGCAAACUGCGAAUACCGGAGAAUGUUAUCACGGGAGACACACGGCGGGUGCUAACGUCCGUCGUGAAGAGGGAAACAACCCAGACCGCCAGCUAAGGUCCCAAAGUCAUGGUUAAGUGGGAAACGAUGUGGGAAGGCCCAGACAGCCAGGAUGUUGGCUUAGAAGCAGCCAUCAUUUAAAGAAAGCGUAAUAGCUCACUGGUCGAGUCGGCCUGCGCGGAAGAUGUAACGGGGCUAAACCAUGCACCGAAGCUGCGGCAGCGACGCUUAUGCGUUGUUGGGUAGGGGAGCGUUCUGUAAGCCUGCGAAGGUGUGCUGUGAGGCAUGCUGGAGGUAUCAGAAGUGCGAAUGCUGACAUAAGUAACGAUAAAGCGGGUGAAAAGCCCGCUCGCCGGAAGACCAAGGGUUCCUGUCCAACGUUAAUCGGGGCAGGGUGAGUCGACCCCUAAGGCGAGGCCGAAAGGCGUAGUCGAUGGGAAACAGGUUAAUAUUCCUGUACUUGGUGUUACUGCGAAGGGGGGACGGAGAAGGCUAUGUUGGCCGGGCGACGGUUGUCCCGGUUUAAGCGUGUAGGCUGGUUUUCCAGGCAAAUCCGGAAAAUCAAGGCUGAGGCGUGAUGACGAGGCACUACGGUGCUGAAGCAACAAAUGCCCUGCUUCCAGGAAAAGCCUCUAAGCAUCAGGUAACAUCAAAUCGUACCCCAAACCGACACAGGUGGUCAGGUAGAGAAUACCAAGGCGCUUGAGAGAACUCGGGUGAAGGAACUAGGCAAAAUGGUGCCGUAACUUCGGGAGAAGGCACGCUGAUAUGUAGGUGAAGUCCCUCGCGGAUGGAGCUGAAAUCAGUCGAAGAUACCAGCUGGCUGCAACUGUUUAUUAAAAACACAGCACUGUGCAAACACGAAAGUGGACGUAUACGGUGUGACGCCUGCCCGGUGCCGGAAGGUUAAUUGAUGGGGUCAGCGCAAGCGAAGCUCUUGAUCGAAGCCCCGGUAAACGGCGGCCGUAACUAUAACGGUCCUAAGGUAGCGAAAUUCCUUGUCGGGUAAGUUCCGACCUGCACGAAUGGCGUAAUGAUGGCCAGGCUGUCUCCACCCGAGACUCAGUGAAAUUGAACUCGCUGUGAAGAUGCAGUGUACCCGCGGCAAGACGGAAAGACCCCGUGAACCUUUACUAUAGCUUGACACUGAACAUUGAGCCUUGAUGUGUAGGAUAGGUGGGAGGCUUUGAAGUGUGGACGCCAGUCUGCAUGGAGCCGACCUUGAAAUACCACCCUUUAAUGUUUGAUGUUCUAACGUUGACCCGUAAUCCGGGUUGCGGACAGUGUCUGGUGGGUAGUUUGACUGGGGCGGUCUCCUCCUAAAGAGUAACGGAGGAGCACGAAGGUUGGCUAAUCCUGGUCGGACAUCAGGAGGUUAGUGCAAUGGCAUAAGCCAGCUUGACUGCGAGCGUGACGGCGCGAGCAGGUGCGAAAGCAGGUCAUAGUGAUCCGGUGGUUCUGAAUGGAAGGGCCAUCGCUCAACGGAUAAAAGGUACUCCGGGGAUAACAGGCUGAUACCGCCCAAGAGUUCAUAUCGACGGCGGUGUUUGGCACCUCGAUGUCGGCUCAUCACAUCCUGGGGCUGAAGUAGGUCCCAAGGGUAUGGCUGUUCGCCAUUUAAAGUGGUACGCGAGCUGGGUUUAGAACGUCGUGAGACAGUUCGGUCCCUAUCUGCCGUGGGCGCUGGAGAA
Molecule: ribosomal RNA, 2635 nt
Filed under: Escherichia coli
Lineage: Bacteria; Pseudomonadati; Pseudomonadota; Gammaproteobacteria; Enterobacterales; Enterobacteriaceae
Description: partial 23S ribosomal RNA
Rfam family: Bacterial large subunit ribosomal RNA
Source: RNAcentral